RNAcentral lists this ribosomal RNA (169 nucleotides) under uncultured Anoxybacillus sp. RNAcentral describes it as "partial 16S ribosomal RNA". It matches the Rfam family "Bacterial small subunit ribosomal RNA", at positions 1215 to 1382 of the family's 1533-position model. Lineage: Bacteria; Bacillati; Bacillota; Bacilli; Caryophanales; Anoxybacillaceae. The record is from RNAcentral.
UACACACGUGCUACAAUGGGCGGUACAAAGGGUCGCGAACCCGCGAGGGGGAGCCAAUCCCAAAAAGCCGCUCUCAGUUCGGAUUGCAGGCUGCAACUCGCCUGCAUGAAGCCGGAAUCGCUAGUAAUCGCGGAUCAGCAUGCCGCGGUCGAAUACGUUCCCGGGCCUU